This is a non-coding RNA of Pogona vitticeps (central bearded dragon), 698 nucleotides long. Lineage: Eukaryota; Metazoa; Chordata; Lepidosauria; Squamata; Agamidae. The record is from RefSeq and is a predicted model, not a curated record.
UUGCUGGAGAAAUCCGGGAGAAGCGCGCGUGAGCGCGUUCUCUGUCGGCGCGAGUGCGCGCGCGUUCUAGCUAGUUCCUUGUUCUGUAUUAAGCUCUCUCGUUCUCGCUCUCCCCCCUUUGCUUUGGGGAGCCGCCGCCUUCUUCUGAUUGGCCGGCUGGAGUCCCGGCCAGGUGUCAGCAGAAGCAGAGGCAAGGAAAGGGCACCGAGUGUGGAAAGGGUGGCGGGGCAGCGUCGGGCUGAGGCACUGCGGCCGUUCUCGCCACCGCCGUUCGCCCUUUGCUCAGCAUCCCAUAGGUGCUCUACUGACGAGGAGAGCUGAACGCCGUCACCUUCCUCUGACAGCCGCUGCCAACGGAGGGAGCGACGCGCCGGCUUGUCCGGCGGCUGGUCCCCUCUUGGGACCCUCGCCUUGCUCUGGAGAGAGUCAAGCCUCUCUCUCUCUGUACCUCAGGACCCGCCACCUCCUCUGGAGCUGCUGGAGAGAUCAGGGUACGCCGCUGCCGAGGCGAGAGAUUCUUCAGCUAGUUUAUUGCACUGAGGAUAGAAAUAACCAUGGGGAGGAAGUUGGAUUUGUCUGGCUUGACUGAUGAUGAAGCCGAACAUGUCCUUCAGGUAGUCCAACGAGAUUUCACCCUCCGCAAAAAAGAAGAAGAUCGACUGAGUCUUUCCUUGUAGGGCUCGGUUUCCAGCUCCCUG